GCCGGGCGUUGUGGUGGGUGCCUGUAGUUCCAGCUACUUGGGAGGCAGGAGAAAUGCUUGAGCCCAGGAGUUGGAGGUUGCUGUGAGCUGUGAUGCCAUGGCACUCUACCCAGGGGGACAGCUUGAGGCUCUGUCUCAAAAAAAAAAAAAAAAAGAGACAGGGUCUUACUUUGUUGCCCUCGGUAAUGUGCUGCAGUGUCACAGCUCACAGCAACUUCCAGCUCUUGGGCUUAGCCAAUUCUC
This 243-nucleotide small RNA is filed under the name Otolemur garnettii (small-eared galago). RNAcentral's name for it is "Metazoan signal recognition particle RNA (ENSOGAG00000026525.1)". The record is from RNAcentral. Lineage: Eukaryota; Metazoa; Chordata; Mammalia; Primates; Galagidae.